This is a small nucleolar RNA of Gossypium arboreum, 107 nucleotides long. It matches the Rfam family "Plant small nucleolar RNA R71". From Rfam's summary of the family: R71 is a member of the C/D box family of snoRNAs containing the C (UGAUGA) and D (CUGA) box motifs. Multiple nearly identical copies of this snoRNA have been identified in Arabidopsis, and it is thought to function as a 2'-O-ribose methylation guide for 18S ribosomal RNA. The record is from Rfam. NCBI's taxonomy places the organism in Eukaryota, Viridiplantae, Streptophyta, Magnoliopsida, Malvales, Malvaceae.
AACCCAUGGUGAGAACACCUUUUCAAUAAAUCUUUAUACCUCUCCCAUGUAUCAUAUAGAGUAUCUAGAUCCAUUUGCACGAAGGAAGAGAUAUCAUUCCUCAGCUU